Molecule: small nucleolar RNA, 100 nt
Organism: Leucoraja erinaceus (little skate)
Lineage: Eukaryota; Metazoa; Chordata; Chondrichthyes; Rajiformes; Rajidae
Product: small nucleolar RNA SNORD16
Exons: 1
Source: RefSeq, a predicted model, not a curated record
UACGAUGAUGGUGUAAUUUGCGUCUUAUGCUGUACACAGCAACAGUUGCCUACUGUUAUUAUGCUGGUACAGAAACAUGACGAACAUUUAGCUCUGAGCA